AUGGAGGUGAAGAAGAGGGCGGCCGCCAUUGCCGCACUGUGCGUGCUCCUCGUCAUCUCAGUGCCGCCCCAGCAGCGGGCGGCCGCCAAGACCUUCUGCGAGUGCUACCAGCCCUGCCACGACGGGUGCAGCCGCAGCGGAUGGAUCUGCAAAGUCGACUGUGUCGAGAAAUGCAAGGAAGAAGGCUACAUGGAGGAGAGCCGCGCCGUCUGCCUCUGGGUCUGCAGCACCGACUCCCCCUGCGGCCCGUCGGCGGCGCCCACCGAAGGCGCUGCGGAUUGUAAGAUCGAGUGCCACAAGAGGUGGGGCCAGGUUUAA
RNAcentral lists this ribosomal RNA (318 nucleotides) under Triticum aestivum (bread wheat). RNAcentral's name for it is "partial small subunit ribosomal RNA". Lineage: Eukaryota; Viridiplantae; Streptophyta; Magnoliopsida; Poales; Poaceae. The record is from RNAcentral.